ACGGCUCAGUAACACGUGGACAAUCUGCCCUUGGGUCUGGGAUAACUCCGGGAAACUGGAGAUAAUACCAGAUAGGUCAUAGAUGCUGGAAUGCUCUAUAGCCCAAAGCUCCGGCGCCCAAGGAUGAGUCUGCGGCCUAUCAGGUUGUAGUGGGCGUAAUGGACCCACUAGCCUACGACGGGUACGGGUUGUGAGAGCAAGAGCCCGGAGAUGGAUUCUGAGACAUGAAUCCAGGCCCUACGGGGCGCAGCAGGCGCGAAACCUUUACAAUGCGCGCAAGCGCGAUAAGGGGACCUCGAGUGUUCCUACCUAGUAGGAACUGUCCAGUUGUCUAAAAAACAACUGUUAGCAAGAGCCGGGCAAGACCGGUGCCAGCCGCCGCGGUAACACCGGCGGCUCGAGUGGUGACCGCUUUUAUUGGGUCUAAAGGGUCUGUAGCCGGUCUAACAAGUUCUUUGGAAAAUCUGGUCGCUUAACGAUCAGGCUGCUAGGGGAUACUGUUAGACUUGGGACCGGGAGAGGCUAGAGGUACUUUAGGGGUAGGGGUGAAAUCCUGUGAUCCUUAAAGGACCACCAGUGGCGAAGGCGUCUAGCUAGAACGGAUCCGACGGUGAGGGACGAAAGCUGGGGGCACGAACCGGAUUAGAUACCCGGGUAGUCCCAGCCGUAAACGAUGCGAGCUAGGUGUCAGUUUUACUGCGAGUAAAAUUGGUGCCGUAGGGAAGCCGUGAAGCUCGCCACCUGGGAAGUACGGCCGCAAGGCUGAAACUUAAAGGAAUUGGCGGGGGAGCACUACAACGGGUGGAGCCUGCGGUUUAAUUGGAUUCAACGCCGG
Molecule: ribosomal RNA, 835 nt
Filed under: uncultured archaeon
Lineage: Archaea
Description: bacterial SSU rRNA
Rfam family: Archaeal small subunit ribosomal RNA
Source: RNAcentral